CUCUCCGUUUUGGUGGGCUGGUGAGUGUGCGCUUAAUUUUGCUCUCUCAUUGUUUUGAAUUUCUCUUCCAUUUGAGUUAUACACCCAGGUGGCAGGCCUUUAUUUCAAGUCGGCAUUGGAGUGUGUUUGAGUCGCAAGGAGAUUAAUUUCGGCUGCGUGGAGGUUGGGAGAAGGCAGUGAAAUGCUCUUCCUGGCUUGUUUCCACGUGGGCCUCUGCAGUACUGGCUUUGCCUUCCAUCUCCGAGUCCUGGUGACCCAGGAACAAUAGACUGUGCUUCAUGUGUACAGUGCGUGCAUUUUGCUUGGCGGGAAAGAUAUUAUCCUAAUGCUGUUUUGAUUUAUAUCUCCCUGGGUGAGGUCAGAUUUCGGGAGAAGGCGUUCAGCUCAGUAGAGUUUAAUUCUCCGAAAUGAUCCUAGAUAAUUGAUAGAUCCUGUGGUUCACCUGGAUUUCUAGAUAGAAGCUGGAUUCAUGUGAUGCCAGAGGAGUAAAAUUUCAAGAGACUGAAACCAGAUCUGAGUUUCGCUGUUCCAGUCUGGACCUCUUUGGU
Molecule: small RNA, 548 nt
Filed under: Pan troglodytes (chimpanzee)
Lineage: Eukaryota; Metazoa; Chordata; Mammalia; Primates; Hominidae
Description: processed transcript
Source: RNAcentral